GAUGAACGCUGGCGGCGUGCUUAACACAUGCAAGUCGAACGAUGAAGCCCAGCUUGCUGGGUGGAUUAGUGGCGAACGGGUGAGUAACACGUGAGCAACCUGCCCCUGACUCUGGGAUAAGCGCUGGAAACGGCGUCUAAUACUGGACAUGUCCCGUCACCGCAUGGUGUGCGGGUGGAAAGAUUUUUCGGUUGGGGAUGGGCUCGCGGCCUAUCAGCUUGUUGGUGAGGUAAUGGCUCACCAAGGCGUCGACGGGUAGCCGGCCUGAGAGGGUGACCGGCCACACUGGGACUGAGACACGGCCCAGACUCCUACGGGAGGCAGCAGUGGGGAAUAUUGCACAAUGGGCGGAAGCCUGAUGCAGCAACGCCGCGUGAGGGAUGACGGCCUUCGGGUUGUAAACCUCUUUUAGCAGGGAAGAAGCGAAAGUGACGGUACCUGCAGAAAAAGCACCGGCUAACUACGUG
This 467-nucleotide ribosomal RNA is filed under the name uncultured bacterium. RNAcentral's name for it is "partial 16S ribosomal RNA". It matches the Rfam family "Bacterial small subunit ribosomal RNA", at positions 28 to 507 of the family's 1533-position model. The record is from RNAcentral.